Molecule: non-coding RNA, 359 nt
Organism: Onchocerca ochengi
Lineage: Eukaryota; Metazoa; Nematoda; Chromadorea; Rhabditida; Onchocercidae
Source: Rfam
GAGUAUAGUUAUGAUCAGGAAUGGAGCGGAAUAAUUCAGUAUUGUUAUGAUCAAAGAUGAAGUGAAUAGUUGAAUUUACUUAUGAUGAAAAGCAGAACGGAAUAUCUGGGUGCAGUUGUAGUCAAAGACAGAGCAUAAUAGCAGUUGAUCAUAAUACAUUCAGUUAAAUAAUUUUGCCACAACAACGUGAUCGCGUGAUCGUUAUCGUCUACCUAGAUAGAAGUCCGAAGCGAUUCUGACGUGCAAAUCGAUCGUCUGAUUUUGGUACAGGGGCGAAAGGUUAAUCGGACUGUCUAGUAGCUGAUUCCUUCUGAAGAUUCCCUCAGGAUAGAUGGAGUACGUUAUGAAGCUGUUAAAUU